CGUUGUUGAUUGUUGCCGAACGCCGAUCGGCCGCUCGCACCCCGAGAAGGGCGUCUUCCGGGACGUGCGCUCUGAUGAUCUGGCCGUUUCGGUGGUCCGCGCGCUUGUAGACCGCACCGGUAUCGAUCCGGCCGCCAUCGAAGACGUCGUCCUCGGCAACACGCAGCAGCAACGGGAGCAGGGUCUCAACGUGGCCCGCACUGUGGGGCUCAUGGCAGGCCUGCCGGUCGAAGCGGGCGGCGCCACGGUGAACCGGCUCUGUGGCAGCAGCCUGCAGGCCCGGGCCCAGGCGACCCACUCCAU
This 303-nucleotide unclassified non-coding RNA is filed under the name plant metagenome. Its description in RNAcentral is "partial contains 5.8S ribosomal RNA, internal transcribed spacer 2, and large subunit ribosomal RNA". The record is from RNAcentral.